UACGGGGGGGGUAAGCGUUGUUCGGAAUUGCUGGGCGUAAAGGGCUCGUAGGCGGCCAACUAAGUCGGACGUGAAAUCCCUCAGCUUAACUGGGGAACUGCGUCCGAUACUGGAUGGCUUGGAUUUGGGAGAGGGAUGCGGAAUUCCAGGUGUAGCGGUGAAAUGCGUAGAUAUCUGGAGGAACACCGGUGGCGAAGGCGGCAUCCUGGACCGGUAUUGACGCUGAGGCGCGAAAGCCAGGGGAGCAAACGGG
Molecule: ribosomal RNA, 253 nt
Filed under: uncultured bacterium
Lineage: Bacteria
Description: partial 16S ribosomal RNA
Rfam family: Bacterial small subunit ribosomal RNA
Source: RNAcentral